AGUGAACGCUGGCGGUAGGCCUAACACAUGCAAGUCGAACGGCAGCACAGUAAGAGCUUGCUCUUACGGGUGGCGAGUGGCGGACGGGUGAGGAAUACAUCGGAAUCUACUUUUUCGUGGGGGAUAACGUAGGGAAACUUACGCUAAUACCGCAUACGACCUACGGGUGAAAGCAGGGGAUCUUCGGACCUUGCGCGAUUGAAUGAGCCGAUGUCGGAUUAGCUAGUUGGCGGGGUAAAGGCCCACCAAGGCGACGAUCCGUAGCUGGUCUGAGAGGAUGAUCAGCCACACUGGAACUGAGACACGGUCCAGACUCCUACGGGAGGCAGCAGUGGGGAAUAUUGGACAAUGGGCGCAAGCCUGAUCCAGCCAUACCGCGUGGGUGAAGAAGGCCUUCGGGUUAUAAAGCCCUUUUGUCGGGAAAGAAAAGCAGCAGGUUAAUACCCCGCUGUUCUGACGGUACCCAAAGAAUAAGCACCGGCUAACUUCGUG
This 492-nucleotide ribosomal RNA is filed under the name uncultured bacterium. RNAcentral describes it as "partial 16S ribosomal RNA". It matches the Rfam family "Bacterial small subunit ribosomal RNA", at positions 29 to 507 of the family's 1533-position model. The record is from RNAcentral.